RNAcentral lists this ribosomal RNA (982 nucleotides) under uncultured soil bacterium. RNAcentral's name for it is "bacterial SSU rRNA". It matches the Rfam family "Bacterial small subunit ribosomal RNA", at positions 542 to 1533 of the family's 1533-position model. The record is from RNAcentral.
GUCGGGAAAUUAUUGGUCGUAAAGUCGCUAGCAAGCAGUCCUUCAAGUUCUGUUGGGCAAUUCUCGCAGCUCAUCCGCGACCGCUUAUUGGUAAUCGGGAACUCUUGAGUAUCAGAAGAGGAGAGUGGAAUUCCACGUGUAGCGGUGGAAAUGCGUAGAGAUGCGGAUGAACACUCAUUGUGAAGGUGACUUUNUGGUCUGUAUCUGACGCUGAGACCGAACGCGUGGGGAGCGAACAGGAUUAGAUACAGAGGUAGUNCACGCCGUAAACGAUGAGUGUUAGGUGUUAGGGGGUUUCCGCCCCCUAGUGAUGAAGUUAACGCAUUAAGCACUCCGCUUGGGGAGUACGCCCUCAAGGCUGAAACUCAAAAGAAUAGACGGGGGCCCGCACAAGCGGUGGAGCAUGUGGUUUAAUUUGAAGCAACGCGAAGAACCUUACCAGGUCUUGACAUCCUCUGGUAUUCCUAGAGAUAGGAAGUUCCCUUCGGGGACAGAGUGACAGGUGGUGCAUGGUUGUCGUCAGCUCGUGUCGUGAGAUGUUGGGUUAAGUCCCGCAACGAGCGCAACCCUUGAUUUUAGUUGCCAGCAUUUAGUUGGGCACUUUAAGGUGACUUCCGGUGAUAAACCGGAGGAAGGUGGGGAUGACGUCAAAUCAUCAUGCCCCUUAUGACCUGGGCUACACACGUGCUACAAUGGAUGGAACAAAGGGAAGCAAAACCGUGAGGUCAAGCAAAUCCCAUAAAACCAUUCUCAGUUCGGAUUGCAGGCUGCAACUCGCCUGCAUGAAGCCGGAAUCGUUAGUAAUCGCGGAUCAGCAUGCCGCGGUGAAUACGUUCCCGGGCCUUGUACACACCGCCCGUCACACCACGAGAGUUGGUAACACCCGAAGUCGGUGAGGUAACCUUUUGGUCCACCCCUUAAGGGGGCCCAGAUGUUGAAGUAUGCCGGGGGGACGCAGGUGCGGCUGUUCCCCCCCUCCUUG